Molecule: long non-coding RNA, 1172 nt
Filed under: Vigna radiata
Lineage: Eukaryota; Viridiplantae; Streptophyta; Magnoliopsida; Fabales; Fabaceae
Description: long non-coding RNA (VRAD_LNC017090)
Source: RNAcentral
GAAAGAAGAAAUUCAAAGCCUGGAAGGGUAAGUCAGCGACACAAGGUAUAUGGAAGAACGAUAAUUUUGCACAAAAGAAAUGGAAGAACGAAGAAAUUGAUGAACGGGAAGGCAAACCAGGAUCUUCAGAAAGAAGAAACACCAACGAUAGUCACUAAAAGAAGAAGGAUAAACGAAACGUGGAAUGUUUUACGUGCCAUAAGAUGGGACACUUCUCCUAUGAGUGUUGGUUCAAUAAGGGUAGAUCUUCCAAGAAGGAUCAAGGCAGGAAGCACAUCUGGCGAAGGAGGAAUCAGACACAGAACCUUUAGUACUCAUGGUUACAACAUCUCCAGAAAACGACGAAGCACUGAAUUGUGUGAAACAGUCCUGGUACUUAGAUUCGGGUUGUUCGAAUCACAUGACUUGUAACAGAGAGUGGAUGUUUAAUGUUGAUGNAACGAGGAAAAGCAAGGUAAGGGUGGCAGAUAAUAACGUCUUGCAGGUUGAAGGCAUCGGGGACGUGGUUAUAAAGAGGAAGAAUGGAACGCAUGUGACGAUUAAGGAUGUUNUAUUGGUUCCAGAGAUGAAAUGUAAUCUGCUAAGCCUCAGACAGCUAGUAGAAAAAGGCUUCACGGUGACUAUGGGCAAGAAGGGUCAAGCAGAAAUCUUAGACAGGAACAAGAAAGUGAUUCUGCGAACAAACAUCUCCAGAAAUCGUACGUUCCAAGUCUGUCUGGAUAUGGUAGAAAUGCAAUGCAUGACAGUUGUGAAAGAAAAUGAUAAUUGGAGAUGGCAUCUCAGGUUUGGACAUCUCAAUUUUGCAGAUUUACAGAAACUAAGCAAGAAAGAAAUGGUUUCUGGGUUACCUGUCAUUACUAUACCUGAGAAAUCAUGCGAGUCUUGCAUUGUUGCAAAGCAAACAAGAAGACCCUUCAAAGCACAGUUAGAAAUGAGAUCAAAUGAGCGUCUUGAAGUGAUACACUCAGAUGUGUGUGGUCCAUUAGAAACACCAACACUGGCUGGAAAUAGAUAUUUCAUCACGUUCAUUGACGAGUUUAGUCGAAUGACAUGGGUAUUUCUCAUGCGGUUUAAAAGCGAGGCUCUGGAAAUAUUCAAAAGGUUUAAGGUUCGCACUGAGAAAGAGGUUGAAAGACAAAUUAAGUUGCUGAGAACUGAUGGCGGUGGAGAAU